Manis pentadactyla (Chinese pangolin) is the source of this 2425-nucleotide long non-coding RNA. RefSeq lists it as uncharacterized. The transcript has 4 exons. Lineage: Eukaryota; Metazoa; Chordata; Mammalia; Pholidota; Manidae. The record is from RefSeq and is a predicted model, not a curated record.
UCUCACUUUGAUUUCUAGAAGGAAAACUAGAGUUGAGGCCAUAUUAGAAAAUAUAGGUCAAAUCUCGGUUUCUGUGGUUACCAAACACUGUCAACCACCAGCGACUCUCUCCCUGGGGGUGAGGCCAGGGUUCCGAGGCCUGGCAGCCCGGCCCGGCUCCUCUCGGUCUGCGCCCCCCGCCCCGCUCUGGGGCCCCGCUGGCCCUGGAGGGUCUGCAGGGAGCGCUGCAAGCGGACGGGGGCCUGCGGGGACCCUGCCCUCCACUUCUCGGGGUGGGGGUUUGGCCGUGCCGCGGAUGGGCCUCGGGGGACCCCGGGCGGCGGCCCUGCCCACGCGCCUGCCGGCUGCGCGAGUCCGCGCGGCCGCAGGGAGCGCCCCGCCUGGGCACGGGCCGUGCCCGCCCGGAGGAGGGAGGAGGGAGGAGGCCGGCCGCCGCGGGAACAAUGUGGUCGGUUGUUUUGCCGACUGUCAGCCUCGUUCCCGGAUCCUCCUUUCCACGCCCCUCGGCCUAACCGCCACAGGCUCGGCACGCAGAGGAAAGAGCCCCCUUAUUUGGUCUUGGAAAGAAAGGGGAAAGGUUAUCCUCAGAUGCCUGCGGCGUUGGGUCAUCGGCCCGCCGCAGUCGGCCGCGCCGGGUGCAGGGCCGCGGCCCGCCGGUAGGUGGCAGCGCCGGGCAGCGCCUCGCCGCGACGCCCGAAGUGGUAAACAAGCCCGCAGGUUCCGGGUCCUCGCUCGGGGUCUCCUUUUGUUCAAGCUUAAACAUCGGAACAUCGGCCUCAGUUGGAGGGCGUGACUUUGCCGUGUCGAUUUCACGUGAACCAUUCGCGAGGGCACGAGCGGAUGCAGGCACCAGUUUUAGGGCCAGCGGGGGAGUUGGGGUGCAAAUUCCGUGAGGAACAUUAAUGAGGCGCCAGCUCUCCCCAUCAUAAAUCUUGAUUUGGUUCUUGGUUCCUGGAAUGCAGCAGCUGCUCGGAUUCUGCUCUCUGAUUAUGACUUGAGGCAGGUAGAGCCCAAGGGACACCAUUAUGCACCACCAUCAUCUCAGGGACUGCCCUGUUUGGAGGCGCCGUAGUGCCCAGCCAUCCAGCAUGGACUAGGGAACAGAGAUGCAGCCUAGGCCAUGCUCCUUAACUUCUGUGUUCCAGCUGUUGUGAGGCUUUAAGGAUUUCUUCAUAUGUGAGGUUCUCCUACAAGCCGACAGGGUUUGGAUGCAAGUCGUUCACCUGGGGUGUGAGUGCAGAGAGGGAGUCAGAGAAAGAAGCCAAGAAAGGGCAUGUCUUGGGGACACUGACCACUGCGGACGACUCUUCUUGCUGAGGAUGCUCUUGAGAGACCGUGCAGACUCAAGAGUCCCCUCACUGAGGGGUGGUGGGAGCUGGGUGUUCAUCACCAAUUUCUGUCCCUCGCUGGUUGAAAGGCACGCGAAGGGGGCGUUAACCACCCUGACCCUCCCAACCCCCACAGGAAGCUGGCUGAAUGCUGGGUAGCAGUCAGAGAGGACCCCUGGACAGAGAGAGGCAGGCGCUGGAUGGAGGGACCCCUCCACCAAAGCCCCAGGACCCAUGGGCCCUGGCAGUGUCUGCUCUAAUAACCCCGAAAGCUGCAUUUAGGCUAAAGAGGGUAGGUGAGAGGGAACAGAAUAUGAAAAGUGCAGAGGCAGGAGGGAGUGAGGGCUGAGAACUCGGAGGAGGCCAGAACAGCUAACCUGCAGGUAUGUGGGCUGUGUGAUGAGGCUGAGAGGUAUGUGGGACAGACAAACCUUUACUGCAAGAGCUAUGUGAGUCCUGGGAAGGCUUUCAGAGGUGGAUGGCAUGUCAGGCUCACAUGUUAGGAGGAUCUGUGUAGCUGCAGCAUGGUCAGCGGUUCAGAGAAGGUCAGAGUUACAAGAAAUGAUUGGAUAAGAGGUUCUUGAAGAGGUAGGUCCAUGCCAGCUGGGUGUAGGCAGGUGGUGGUUGUGUGGGAGUGGACAGGAAAUAAAGUCAGUGGGACCUGUGCUGUCUGCCUCCUUCACCCCAUGUCCUGCCAUGCCUCUGCCAAGGCCAUUAUUGGCCCUCACUGGACCCACUCCUACUGACCUCCCAUCCCAAGAGUAGGUGAGAACACCUGAACAGAAUGAAAGUAUUUGCUGUGAAGAGGUGUAGCAAUUAGGGCUCAUGGGAGGGGCGACAGAAAGGAACUCUGGCAAGCUUAAGCAAGAGGGGCACUUAUGGGAGGCUCGCAGAGCUCAGAAAACCUGGGUGGCUGAAGGACUGCACCUGAGAAAUGGACAGGAACCCUUUGGCCCCAGAUAGCCAGGCAGCAGGAUCUCCCAUUCUUUCAUUCCCCAGACUACUGAGCGCCUGCUCUGUGCCAAGCAUGGUCGGUCCAAGUGCUGUGGAUAGAGUGAGCCAAGCCCUGUCCUUCCUCUCAUGGGCCUUACAUUCUU